This 520-nucleotide ribosomal RNA is filed under the name uncultured bacterium. Its description in RNAcentral is "bacterial SSU rRNA". It matches the Rfam family "Bacterial small subunit ribosomal RNA", at positions 120 to 674 of the family's 1533-position model. The record is from RNAcentral.
GGGAACGUACCCUUCGGUUCGGAAUAACUCAGGGAAACUUGAGCUAAUACCGGAUACGCCCUUUUGGGGAAAGGUUUACUGCCGAAGGAUCGGCCCGCGUCUGAUUAGCUUGUUGGUGGGGUAACGGCCUACCAAGGCGACGAUCAGUAGCUGGUCUGAGAGGAUGAUCAGCCACACUGGGACUGAGACACGGCCCAGACUCCUACGGGAGGCAGCAGUGGGGAAUAUUGGACAAUGGGCGCAAGCCUGAUCCAGCCAUGCCGCGUGAGUGAUGAAGGCCUUAGGGUUGUAAAGCUCUUUUGUCCGGGACGAUAAUGACGGUACCGGAAGAAUAAGCCCCGGCUAACUUCGUGCCAGCAGCCGCGGUAAUACGAAGGGGGCUAGCGUUGCUCGGAAUCACUGGGCGUAAAGGGCGCGUAGGCGGCCGAUUAAGUCGGGGGUGAAAGCCUGUGGCUCAACCACAAAAUUGCCUUCGAUACUGGUUGGCUUGAGACCGGAAGAGGACAGCGGAACUGCGAGU